This 459-nucleotide long non-coding RNA is filed under the name Bos taurus (domestic cattle). RNAcentral describes it as "long non-coding RNA NONBTAT025329". Lineage: Eukaryota; Metazoa; Chordata; Mammalia; Artiodactyla; Bovidae. The record is from RNAcentral.
CCCUGUGCAUACACCAUGUGGGUGCUAACAUGGAGACCGUGGCCAACGUUGGCCACAAAGCUUCAGGACCCAGAAUGAGGAUUUGACUGGAAAAUCAACAUAAAAGCACUGGUGUAAUUCUGAAAACCAGUGGCCUCGCUUUUUGGCUUUUGCAAAACGUGUUUGUUUGUUUGUUUGUUUUUUGGAUUGUACUUUUUUGGUUCAUGACUGUGCCUGUAGAUGGCUGUUACUUUGACUCUUUUCAUCAGGGCCCAAGCUGAAUUCACAAUUUCUUUUUCCAGUAUUUGCUUCAACUUACUAUGAUUUGUUCUUGAAACUUAAAAGUGAGCCUCUUUAAAGCAAGCAAGUGGCCAGUACCACCAGGGAAACUAGAGGAUGGAUACCACACAAACUUCUUGUAUAAAAACAUGAAUGCUGAAAUGUUUCCAACUUUUUUAAUUUAAUAAACCUUGUAACCAC